RNAcentral lists this transfer RNA (77 nucleotides) under Moritella sp. RNAcentral describes it as "tRNA-Pro". It matches the Rfam family "tRNA". From Rfam's summary of the family: Transfer RNA (tRNA) molecules are approximately 80 nucleotides in length. Their secondary structure includes four short double-helical elements and three loops (D, anti-codon, and T loops). Lineage: Bacteria; Pseudomonadati; Pseudomonadota; Gammaproteobacteria; Alteromonadales; Moritellaceae. The record is from RNAcentral.
CGGUGAUUAGCGCAGCUUGGUAGCGCACCUGGUUUGGGACCAGGGGGUCAGAGGUUCRAAUCCUCUAUCACCGACCA